Molecule: long non-coding RNA, 447 nt
Organism: Magnolia sinica
Lineage: Eukaryota; Viridiplantae; Streptophyta; Magnoliopsida; Magnoliales; Magnoliaceae
Exons: 4
Source: RefSeq, a predicted model, not a curated record
UUCCACGAUUAUACAAUAUAUACAAGGAGAUGGGAAUCGUUACAUCUUUCCAGAACAUUCUUGACAAUAUAUUUCUUCCCCUUUUUGAGGUCACCGUCAAUCCGGAUUCACAUCCCUAGUUGCAUGUUUUCUUGAAACAGGUUGUUGGGUUAGAUUUGGUGGAUGAUGAAAGUAAGCCUGAAAGACGGCCAACAAAACACAUGCCUACACCAGCUCAAUGGACCAAUAUAUUUAAUCCCGCAUUCUCGUACUAUGUGCGCUACUGUUAUGGUAACCUGUACACAUUAAAUAAGCUCCGCGAGUCAAAGGGCAUGACAACAAUCAAAUUCCGUCCGCAUUCAGGGGAGGCUGGUGACAUAGACCAUCUUGCUGCAACAUUCCUUGCGGCUCACAAUAUUGCUCACGGAAUCAAUCUGAGAAAAUCACCCGUCCUCCAAUACCUGUAUU